Molecule: ribosomal RNA, 253 nt
Filed under: uncultured bacterium
Lineage: Bacteria
Description: partial 16S ribosomal RNA
Rfam family: Bacterial small subunit ribosomal RNA
Source: RNAcentral
UACAGAGGUCCCAAGCGUUGUUCGGAUUCACUGGGCGUAAAGGGUGCGUAGGUGGCUGGGUAAGUUUGGUGUGAAAGCUCGGAGCUUAACUCCGAAAUGGCAUUGAAUACUAUCUGGCUUGAGGGUCGGAGGGGAGACUGGAAUUCUCGGUGUAGCAGUGAAAUGCGUAGAGAUCGAGAGGAACACCAGUGGCGAAGGCGAGUCUCUGGACGACACCUGACACUGAGGCACGAAAGCUAGGGGAGCAAACAGG